GUAGGGAAUCUUCCACAAUGGACGCAAGUCUGAUGGAGCAACGCCGCGUGAGUGAAGAAGGUUUUCGGACCGUAAAGCUCUGUUGUUGGUGAAGAAGGAUAGAGGUAGUAACUGGCCUUUAUUUGACGGUAAUCAACCAGAAAGUCACGGCUAACUACGUGCCAGCAGCCGCGGUAAUACGUAGGUGGCAAGCGUUGUCCGGAUUUAUUGGGCGUAAAGCGAGCGCAGGCGGAAGAAUAAGUCUGAUGUGAAAGCCCUCGGCUUAACCGAGGAAUUGCAUCGGAAACUGUUUUCUUGAGUGCAGAAGAG
This 309-nucleotide ribosomal RNA is filed under the name uncultured bacterium. RNAcentral describes it as "partial 16S ribosomal RNA". It matches the Rfam family "Bacterial small subunit ribosomal RNA", at positions 354 to 656 of the family's 1533-position model. The record is from RNAcentral.